CUGUAGAUGAUGGGUACAGCAUGCCUAGGUCCUUAAGCAAUGAGAUAUUGCCUGUUUUAGCCAGGGCGUUAGCAAGCAUUAAUUGCUCUGAACAGCCACACCUGGGGUCCCUAUCCACAUCCUCUGCCCUUGGGCCCUAGAGCCCCAUUUCAGCUCAGCCCACCACCUUCAAUUCUCAUCCUGAGCUGUGUUGUAGAUGCGUUUGUUUUUUUGCUGUGUCUUCUGGCUGGACCUUUGUCAUCUGCUGUGGACAUGCAGCUGACAACUCCUGUGUCCUGUGUGCACCUGGAUCAAGUGCUGUCACUCUUGCUGAGGGAAAACAAAGCACAUUUACACUGACAUAAACUGAGAAGUAUGACAACGCUUGAGAUUUAGCUUUCGUCUUGUUUUCCUGUGUUUUGGAGCCUGGAAGUGAGGCCUCCAUAGGUAUUACAACUGGGACAGGAGCAUGCAAUGAAGUGUGUUGCCUUUCCUUACUCUAUUCGCUUUUCAGCAUAGCUGACCAAGCUAUGAAAUGUGGAAAUCUGCUGCAUUUUUCCAUCAACGAUGCGAAUACUCCUUCUCUCUCAAAUACUACUUGAUGCAAAACAAGAGGGCACAGGGAAC
Non-coding RNA from Anas platyrhynchos (mallard), 606 nucleotides. Lineage: Eukaryota; Metazoa; Chordata; Aves; Anseriformes; Anatidae. The record is from RefSeq and is a predicted model, not a curated record.